Molecule: long non-coding RNA, 419 nt
Filed under: Ananas comosus (pineapple)
Lineage: Eukaryota; Viridiplantae; Streptophyta; Magnoliopsida; Poales; Bromeliaceae
Description: long non-coding RNA (ACOM_LNC031080)
Source: RNAcentral
UAAUGAGUUAAGGGUAUGUUUGGUUCCACGUAAAACUGUGGAAAAAAAAAAUUUCAAUAAAAAAUAAUUUUUGGUGGAAAAUUUUUUUUACGUCGUUUAGUGUUUGGUUAGAAGGAAAAAAAAAGAAGUUUUUUAUUAUGAUUAUUUCGUUAAAAGAAAAAAAAAUAAAAACUUAUUCAAUAUAUUUUUUUAUUUUUCACAAUCUUUUAUUUUUAUGUCACGUUAAAUUAUACAAAUUAUUUAAAUUAUGAAAGAACGAUAUUUUUAAUAUUUAUAUUCAACUGUUUCAAUACUAAAAGACGGGUAUAAUAUCAGUUGGUGCAGUAAACAGGCAAACCAAACCAGGACAACGAUCCUCAAGUUGAGAUUGUUUCAUUCACAGUUUCAACAAUUUUGAGGUUCAUGCUAUUUACUUAAUA